Molecule: non-coding RNA, 169 nt
Organism: Callorhinus ursinus (northern fur seal)
Lineage: Eukaryota; Metazoa; Chordata; Mammalia; Carnivora; Otariidae
Source: RefSeq, a predicted model, not a curated record
CAUUUACCUCGCUUCAUUUCGUCAGGCAGGCAACUUAUCUCGCAGCUCGGGAAGUAGAGGAUGUUUCCAGAAGACAUGAAACUCCUUGGUCAGAAACAAAGAAUUCUGUCAUUCAUGGCAUAAAUUCUGCCAAGACCCUACUCCUAAAUCAAAAUGAAAACUUGAAGUC